This 468-nucleotide ribosomal RNA is filed under the name uncultured bacterium. RNAcentral describes it as "partial 16S ribosomal RNA". It matches the Rfam family "Bacterial small subunit ribosomal RNA", at positions 28 to 507 of the family's 1533-position model. The record is from RNAcentral.
GACGAACGCUGGCGGCGUGCUUAACACAUGCAAGUCGAACGGAAAGGCCCUGCUUUUGUUGGUUUCUCGAUUGGCGAACGGGUGAGUGACACGUGAGUAACCUCCCCUUGUCUUUGUGGUAACUUCUGGAAACUGGGGCUAAUACCCGAGAGAAUCUCCUGCUGCAUGGGGUGCGAUGGAGAAUGUCGGCGGUUGUGUCUGGUCUCGCUGGUUAUGAGCUUGUUUGUGGGGUAGGUGCGUACCAGGCGUUUGACGGGUAGCCUGCCUGGGAGCGUUACCGGCCACAUUGGGACUACGAUACGGAGCAGAAGCCUACGGGACGCAGCAGUGGGGAAUCUUGCACAAUGGGCGCACGUCUGAUGCAGAAACGUUGCGUGCGGGAUGCUGGCCUACGGGUUGUAAACAGAUUUCGAAGGUAACGAAGCGUGAGUGACGGUAAUGGGUAAAGAAGCAACGGCUAACUACGUG